Phasianus colchicus (ring-necked pheasant) is the source of this 427-nucleotide long non-coding RNA. RefSeq lists it as uncharacterized. Lineage: Eukaryota; Metazoa; Chordata; Aves; Galliformes; Phasianidae. The record is from RefSeq and is a predicted model, not a curated record.
CAAAUUCUCGGCAUAGAUGUUCUUCAGCUACCGUGUACCUGGGCAGUGGUUUCAGUGCUUACAGGGUCUGCGUUAUCUAACAACACUGCUUUAGGAAGUCAGAGAAUGUGAGAAUGGGCUCAUGUUGAAGAAAACCCUCCUUGGCUGCACAGCUGCCCACAGAAUGCAAACUGAGGCCAGGAGGAAUUCCUUGGUGUUGACCAUCUGAGGCUGGAAAUGAACUGUCGACAACCUCUAGCACUGCUGCAAAACAACCUGAUCCUGCUACAGGGACGCGUGUGAGGAAAGCAAAAAUACUGCUCAGUAAAUAGCUGCAAACGAUAGAGGAUCCUGCAGAAAUGCUGGAAAAUAUGAAAAGGCCAAUGAAGCAAGGGGGAGAAAAACGGGGUUUUCUUUCCUCCUCUAAGAAAGAAUGCAUUAUCUGGAA